UUUUAUUUCUUGUUUUUUUCUAUGCUCCAUCGUUUCCCCCUCCAGCCACUCUUGUCCCCCUCAGCUCACAACUCCUGUCAUUUGUGUCCACUUAUGUAGCUGGAGAGCUGCUCCUUUAGCUUUUUCUAAGCUGCUUUCCAUAUCUUUAAAACCUACAGAUGCUCGGAUAGUCAUCAAUCUAGAAGAGACAGGCAGCCAUGUGAUGCCCGACUUUCCAGAUGGGGUUUCAGGGUGACCCUGUCUGAUCACCAGGCUCGACUUAUGAAAUACAGUCACUGAUGAAAUUCAUGGCAGGCAAACUCCCUGCACGAUGUGGGGCAACAGCAUGAUGGAUGGGCCUAUGAUGACUGAUAGCUCUUCUCUUACCCUUAGUCUAUGAAUUUUGGUUCAUGAAUUUCCUCCAGCGGGGACUGAGUUGUCCCAGAGAUAAGAUAAUGACACUCAGCCAGGAGCUGGGCUCUGGGCUUAUUACUUGCUUAAGGAUAUCACCCUCAUUACUCAGUAAAGCAAAUUAUUACUGACAAGGUAAGGUUUUAGUCCCUUUUAGUGGUUUUUACAUUAAACAGACAGCCUGGCAUAUGGAUCAAGAUUCCCAGCACUGUAAAAAAAUUCUCUUCUAAAGUAUGGACAAAACAGGGAAUUUAAAUAAAAGGGAAGAUUUAUAUAUAUAGGAGCUUAAUAAUCUUCCUUGUCAUCUGUUCAUUCUUUUUGGGAAAUUACUAUUACAGCUCACUAUAAUCUUAAUCCUUCAUAGUUUCUUUUUUUUUAAAUACAUGACCCUUUUUUUAGUAUUAGGAAAUGAAUCAAAAGUCUGAAUACAAAAAAAAAAUUGGGUGACUUUAAUAUGCCUGCUAACGUUAUCUCAUUAAUCCUCAUGGUGCUUCUGAAAGAUGUAUGCAAUAUAUUUUUAUCUCCAUUUUACAGAAUGUGAAACCUAGAUAUCCCAAAGCUCUUUAACAUACUUCAGAUCACAGAGGGGCUCAGUAAUAUAAUCAGAAAUAAAAGCCAGCUUUUCUUACAGAAGGUCUCUGACAAUUAAUCAGAAUCACAGCAAGUCUGCUCUUUCUUUAAUGACUAGAAAUUUCAUCUGAAGCUGAAGGCUGAUUUAGCCAUGAGUAAAGUCAUCACAGCUGGUAAUUUUAUAUCUUUAGGAGAUGUUCAGUCUAAAAACCUGUAACAUAACAUGUAGCCUUUGCUUAGAUUUGGUACACCACAGCAAAGAUAUCUACUAAAAAUAUUCUUAUAAAGAAAAUCUUAUUCUCUCUUACUUCAUUUAUAAAAUUCAGAAGUUAUUCUCCUGGAAAACAGAAUCCAUAGACAGAAUCCAUAGACUGUAAUUGAAAAAGUGGCAAUGCAGAGUCAAGAUUUGUAAGAAGACAGUCAAGUACCUUGGAAAUUGGGACUCAGUUACCUCCCCAAGAUUCUGGUUUCUGUUCCUGAAACUAACACAACCAAGCAUGAGCAAUAAUAAUGGCCAUGUCUACAGGGAGCUGAUGUGGCAAAAAUCACCUCCUAUAUCCCCACUGUUUCCCUUAGCCUAAUGAACAAGGUAUUUAAUGCAUAAUAUCACCUACAAAGGGAAAGAUAUAUGAAUAAUUGAUGAUAUUCAAAUAUACCACUAUUACUCUGACCCAUUGUAUUUCUACCGGCAGAUGACCCUAAUGUUCCUGGAGUACUUCAAGUCCUUUCCAUUACCUAUCACUUUUCCAACCAAGAGAUCUCUUCCAUUAACCUUCCACAGAGCAUUUCCCAUUUCUAUAAUUCCAAGGUUUUACACUUGGAUUUCCAUCAUGUUACUUUCAUUGAACAAUUAACAACUAAUUCAAUGGUGAUUCAAUUUUAUUGAGCAUAAUAAUCACCUGCGAUGCAAUAUUAAACAUUCUCAGGCCUUCAGCAAUUCUGAUACAGAUAGGAGGGCAGGACUCAGCAAUUAAAUGAGAACCCCAACGAUUUUGAUAUAGGCAUUCCAAGGACCACUCUUAGAAAAACAAAACAAAACAAAACAAAAACAAAAACAACCUUCACCUUUCUAUAAUGAUCCUAUUCCAUGAAUAAAGAAAUGGAGAUUCAGAAAAGUUUCUCACCCAAGACAAUGUAUUCAUUCAUUCAAUCAGUCACUUAGUCAACAAAUACUGUGGAUACAGAUGCUCAGACACUAUUGGUUUAUGCAGAAUUAGAGCCUGGCCUGGUUCCCAAUCCACAGCUCCUUCUACUCUGACUGCUGCCAUAUGCU
This 2233-nucleotide long non-coding RNA is filed under the name Canis lupus familiaris (dog). RNAcentral describes it as "lncRNA (ENSCAFG00845025068.1)". Lineage: Eukaryota; Metazoa; Chordata; Mammalia; Carnivora; Canidae. The record is from RNAcentral.